AAUUCAAGUUACUCUAAUAUUACAUUAUUGAUACAAUAAAGUAUAUUCAUAGGUUGCUAGGUAGAAAAUAGGUUACUCUCUUCUUUUUGCAGAUGGUGAAACUGAGGCUCAGGGAUUCAAGAAAAUUGUGCAAUUUGACAUCAGAAAUCAGGGUGAAGACGCCUGAGGAAGGUUUCUCAGUCACCCUGAGACCGGCUACUUUUGAAGAGUUAAAUCGGAAGGAAAACGCAGUUUGGAAGACGGUGUUUUACAAAAAAAUAGAAAAGAAACUGCUUGAUUUAUGUGAUCUGGCAAAAGGGAGGCUGCAUCAUGAAUCAAAAGCCAGUGUUCAGGAAACAAAAGAUUGAGAAUGAGGCAGGAAGGAAGAAGGAAAGAAGAAAGGAAGAAAGGAAGGUAGGAAGAAAACAAAGGGAAGAAAAAAGAGAAAGGGCCGGGCGCGGUGGCUCAAGCCGGUAAUCCCAGCACUUUGGGAGGCCGAGACGGGCGGAUCACGAGGUCAGGAGAUCGAGACCAUCCUGGCGAACACGGUGAAACCCUGUCUCUACUAAAAAAAUACAACAACAACAAAAAAAACUAGCCGGGCGAGGUGGCGGGUGCCUGUAGUCCCAGCUACUCAGGAGGCUGAGGCAGGAGAAUGGCGUAAACUUGGGAGGCAGAGCUUGCAGUGAGCUGAGAUCUGGCCACUGCACUCCAGCCUGGGCGACAGAGCGAGACUCCGUCUCAAAAAAAAAAAAAAAAAAGAAAAAAGAGAAAGGAAAGGUGAAUGAACCAUAAAUAAACCAUAGUUUGAGUUCCCGGAGGAUAAGUAA
RNAcentral lists this long non-coding RNA (809 nucleotides) under Piliocolobus tephrosceles (Ugandan red Colobus). RNAcentral's name for it is "lncRNA (ENSPTEG00000010901.1)". Lineage: Eukaryota; Metazoa; Chordata; Mammalia; Primates; Cercopithecidae. The record is from RNAcentral.